UACGUAGGGUCCAAGCGUUAAUCGGAAUUACUGGGCGUAAAGCGUGCGCAGGUGGCUUGUUAAGAUCGAUGUGAAAUCCCCGGGCUCAACCUGGGAAUGGCAUUGAUGACUGGCUCGCUAGAGUACGGCAGAGGGGGGUGGAAUUCCACGUGUAGCAGUGAAAUGCGUAGAGAUGUGGAGGAACACCGAUGGCGAAGGCAACCCCCUGGGCUGAUACUGACACUCAUGCACGAAAGCGUGGGGAGCAAACAGG
Molecule: ribosomal RNA, 253 nt
Filed under: uncultured bacterium
Lineage: Bacteria
Also listed under: 1 other name
Description: partial 16S ribosomal RNA
Rfam family: Bacterial small subunit ribosomal RNA
Source: RNAcentral